GGGUUGUGAGGUUAAGCGACUAAGCGUACACGGUGGAUGCCCUGGCAGUCAGAGGCGAUGAAGGACGUGCUAAUCUGCGAUAAGCGUCGGUAAGGUGAUAUGAACCGUUAUAACCGGCGAUUUCCGAAUGGGGAAACCCAGUGUGAUUCGUCACACUAUCAUUAACUGAAUCCAUAGGUUAAUGAGGCGAACCGGGGGAACUGAAACAUCUAAGUACCCCGAGGAAAAGAAAUCAACCGAGAUUCCCCCAGUAGCGGCGAGCGAACGGGGAGCAGCCCAGAGCCUGAAUCAGUGUGUGUGUUAGUGGAAGCGUCUGGAAAGGCGCGCGAUACAGGGUGACAGCCCCGUACACAAAAAUGCACAUACUGUGAGCUCGAUGAGUAGGGCGGGACACGUGGUAUCCUGUCUGAAUAUGGGGGGACCAUCCUCCAAGGCUAAAUACUCCUGACUGACCGAUAGUGAACCAGUACCGUGAGGGAAAGGCGAAAAGAACCCCGGCGAGGGGAGUGAAAAAGAACCUGAAACCGUGUACGUACAAGCAGUGGGAGCACGCUUAGGCGUGUGACUGCGUACCUUUUGUAUAAUGGGUCAGCGACUUAUAUUCUGUAGCAAGGUUAACCGAAUAGGGGAGCCGAAGGGAAACCGAGUCUUAACUGGGCGUUAAGUUGCAGGGUAUAGACCCGAAACCCGGUGAUCUAGCCAUGGGCAGGUUGAAGGUUGGGUAACACUAACUGGAGGACCGAACCGACUAAUGUUGAAAAAUUAGCGGAUGACUUGUGGCUGGGGGUGAAAGGCCAAUCAAACCGGGAGAUAGCUGGUUCUCCCCGAAAGCUAUUUAGGUAGCGCCUCGUGAAUUCAUCUCCGGGGGUAGAGCACUGUUUCGGCAAGGGGGUCAUCCCGACUUACCAACCCGAUGCAAACUGCGAAUACCGGAGAAUGUUAUCACGGGAGACACACGGCGGGUGCUAACGUCCGUCGUGAAGAGGGAAACAACCCAGACCGCCAGCUAAGGUCCCAAAGUCAUGGUUAAGUGGGAAACGAUGUGGGAAGGCCCAGACAGCCAGGAUGUUGGCUUAGAAGCAGCCAUCAUUUAAAGAAAGCGUAAUAGCUCACUGGUCGAGUCGGCCUGCGCGGAAGAUGUAACGGGGCUAAACCAUGCACCGAAGCUGCGGCAGCGACGCUUAUGCGUUGUUGGGUAGGGGAGCGUUCUGUAAGCCUGCGAAGGUGUACUGUGAGGCAUGCUGGAGGUAUCAGAAGUGCGAAUGCUGACAUAAGUAACGAUAAAGCGGGUGAAAAGCCCGCUCGCCGGAAGACCAAGGGUUCCUGUCCAACGUUAAUCGGGGCAGGGUGAGUCGACCCCUAAGGCGAGGCCGAAAGGCGUAGUCGAUGGGAAACAGGUUAAUAUUCCUGUACUUGGUGUUACUGCGAAGGGGGGACGGAGAAGGCUAUGUUGGCCGGGCGACGGUUGUCCCGGUUUAAGCGUGUAGGCUGGUUUUCCAGGCAAAUCCGGAAAACUAAGGCUGAGGCGUGAUGACGAGGCACUACGGUGCUGAAGCAACAAAUGCCCUGCUUCCAGGAAAAGCCUCUAAGCAUCAGGUAACAUCAAAUCGUACCCCAAACCGACACAGGUGGUCAGGUAGAGAAUACCAAGGCGCUUGAGAGAACUCGGGUGAAGGAACUAGGCAAAAUGGUGCCGUAACUUCGGGAGAAGGCACGCUGAUAUGUAGGUGAAGUCCCUCGCGGAUGGAGCUGAAAUCAGUCGAAGAUACCAGCUGGCUGCAACUGUUUAUUAAAAACACAGCACUGUGCAAACACGAAAGUGGACGUAUACGGUGUGACGCCUGCCCGGUGCCGGAAGGUUAAUUGAUGGGGUCAGCGCAAGCGAAGCUCUUGAUCGAAGCCCCGGUAAACGGCGGCCGUAACUAUAACGGUCCUAAGGUAGCGAAAUUCCUUGUCGGGUAAGUUCCGACCUGCACGAAUGGCGUAAUGAUGGCCAGGCUGUCUCCACCCGAGACUCAGUGAAAUUGAACUCGCUGUGAAGAUGCAGUGUACCCGCGGCAAGACGGAAAGACCCCGUGAACCUUUACUAUAGCUUGACACUGAACAUUGAGCCUUGAUGUGUAGGAUAGGUGGGAGGCUUUGAAGUGUGGACGCCAGUCUGCAUGGAGCCGACCUUGAAAUACCACCCUUUAAUGUUUGAUGUUCUAACGUGGACCCGUAAUCCGGGUUGCGGACAGUGUCUGGUGGGUAGUUUGACUGGGGCGGUCUCCUCCUAAAGAGUAACGGAGGAGCACGAAGGUUGGCUAAUCCUGGUCGGACAUCAGGAGGUUAGUGCAAUGGCAUAAGCCAGCUUGACUGCGAGCGUGACGGCGCGAGCAGGUGCGAAAGCAGGUCAUAGUGAUCCGGUGGUUCUGAAUGGAAGGGCCAUCGCUCAACGGAUAAAAGGUACUCCGGGGAUAACAGGCUGAUACCGCCCAAGAGUUCAUAUCGACGGCGGUGUUUGGCACCUCGAUGUCGGCUCAUCACAUCCUGGGGCUGAAGUAGGUCCCAAGGGUAUGGCUGUUCGCCAUUUAAAGUGGUACGCGAGCUGGGUUUAGAACGUCGUGAGACAGUUCGGUCCCUAUCUGCCGUGGGCGCUGGAGAACUGAGGGGGGCUGCUCCUAGUACGAGAGGACCGGAGUGGACGCAUCACUGGUGUUCGGGUUGUCAUGCCAAUGGCACUGCCCGGUAGCUAAAUGCGGAAGAGAUAAGUGCUGAAAGCAUCUAAGCACGAAACUUGCCCCGAGAUGAGUUCUCCCUGACUCCUUGAGAGUCCUGAAGGAACGUUGAAGACGACGACGUUGAUAGGCCGGGUGUGUAAGCGCAGCGAUGCGUUGAGCUAACCGGUACUAAUGAACCGUGAGGCUUAACCUUACAACGCCGAAGGUGUUU
This 2931-nucleotide ribosomal RNA is filed under the name Escherichia coli. RNAcentral's name for it is "bacterial LSU rRNA". It matches the Rfam family "Bacterial large subunit ribosomal RNA". Lineage: Bacteria; Pseudomonadati; Pseudomonadota; Gammaproteobacteria; Enterobacterales; Enterobacteriaceae. The record is from RNAcentral.